AGGAUAAUAGUUUAUAAAAACAUUUAAUUUGCAAUUAAAAAAUAUUAAUUAAUUUAAUUUUUCUUA
This 66-nucleotide transfer RNA is filed under the name Appias nero. RNAcentral describes it as "tRNA-Ala". Lineage: Eukaryota; Metazoa; Arthropoda; Insecta; Lepidoptera; Pieridae. The record is from RNAcentral.